UAGGGAAUAUUGGUUAAUGUGCGAAAGCGCGAACCAGCAACGCCGCGUGUGCGAUGAAGGCCUUCGGGUCGUAAAGCACUCUUUGCAGGGAAGAGGAAGGACGGUACCUGCAGAAUAAGUCUCGGCUAACUACGUGCCAGCAGCCGCGGUAAAACGUAGGAGACGAGCGUUAUCCGGAUUUACUGGGCGUAAAGCGCGUGCAGGCGGCAUGGCAAGUUGGAUGUGAAAGCUCCCGGCUUAACUGGGAGAGGUCGUUCAAUACUGCCAGGCUUGAGAAUGGUAGAGGGAAACGGAAUUCCGGGUGUAGUGGUGAAAUGCGUAGAUAUCCGGAGGAACACCAGUGGCGAAAGCGGCUUCCUGGCCCAUUUCUGACGCUCAGACGCGAAAGCUAGGGUAGCAAACG
This 403-nucleotide ribosomal RNA is filed under the name uncultured bacterium. RNAcentral describes it as "bacterial SSU rRNA". It matches the Rfam family "Bacterial small subunit ribosomal RNA", at positions 355 to 774 of the family's 1533-position model. The record is from RNAcentral.